This 4013-nucleotide transfer RNA is filed under the name Sus scrofa (pig). RNAcentral's name for it is "lncRNA (ENSSSCG00025040050.1)". The record is from RNAcentral. Lineage: Eukaryota; Metazoa; Chordata; Mammalia; Artiodactyla; Suidae.
UCAGAACUGAAGAUGUUUCUGGCCAGAGAGUUUGAUUCAUUAAAAGAACACUAAUAGCAACAUAAACUCAUGUGCCUUUACACACACAAAAAUAAUGUUUCCUGAUUCGUAACCCAUGUGGCUGAGAGGGUCUCUUCUUUGUGUUAAGAAGCUAGAAAAGCUCACUUGAGAUCAUCUUAAUGUUCACUUAAUUAAUAAUUGAGAUCCUAUUAAUCCAGAAAAGAGCCAUUUGAGGAUUUUUGCAGACAUUGCAGGUAUGGACUAGGGCUCUGUGUAUCUUCUCACAAUAUUGGAGGAUUUUAUGUGUACAAAGGCCUACUAGGAAUCUUCUGCCCUUGCCUCCUUCUCCGUCACACACCUACAGCUCUGCUUUCCCAAGUAAAAUAUUGGAGUUCCUGCUGUGGCUCAGUGGUAACAAACCCAACUAGUGUCCAUGAGGAUGCAGGUUUGAUCCCUGGCCUUGCUCAGUGGGGUUAAGGAUCUGGUGUUGCUGCAAGCUGAGGCAUAGGUAGCAGACACAGCUCAGAUCUGGCGCUGCUGUGGCGUAGGCCGGCAGGCAGCUACAACUCUGAUUCAACCCCUAGCCUGGGAAUUUCCAAACGCCACAGGAGCAGUCAUAAGAAGGAAAAACAAAAAAUCUGUGUUAAGACCUCAGGAAGUUUUAAGGUGUUGCUUCAUAGACCCUUUCAAGCAUACAAAGACCUGCAAACUAUAAGCUCAGACAGUAGCUUUGCAGAGACUAAGGCAGAGAAGGGCUAAAUGAGAUUUGUGGGUAUGGUUUUGCCUAAUGGAGUGGGUCAUAAAUUGAUUCUUAAGAAGCCUGCAAUGUUUUUUCCUUAAAGAACUAUGAUGAACUUAAACCAUAAGGGACAUCAGGCCUUCGAAUUCCCAAAGGGCAGGAAGCAGUCUAAGAGAGCAACUCAGCUGCAAAGAUGGGCUACUUUUAGUGGAAAAGGAAAAGUGCCCAAAGGGUAGACUCAAGAGCAGAUAUGGUGAAUGACUUCCAAGAAACAGAACUGAGUCCUCAUCAGGGAACUGGCAGCACACACUCAGGAGGAUUGCAGAACUGCUGUGAGCCAGGGACUACUCUGGGCUCCCCACUUUUCUCCCUUUUGAGCCUAAGUGUCUAUACCUUGACCCACUGCUGUAUUUUGGGUAUGGUGGGGAGAUGGCUUGUCUCUUGAGUCACAGGUGUUCAGAUUGGGUGGAGCUACCCUAGGGGAUAGUAGCCAGGGAGCCUCAGCCACAUGCUACCAUAGGAUCUGGAAGCAUGGAUCGAUGUCGGGAGACAUGUUUCUACAAUAUUUUCUUAGCCACUCUGUUUCUAUUUUCUUUGCUAAAACCUCCAUCUUGUCCUGCCUUACUUUACCCCAUCUUCCUGCUCGAAAAACAGUUGCAGUGCUGGUAAACGACUUAAGCUUAAGAACAAAGACCUAAAGGCAUAAGUUAUUCUUAGGGUCAGCUGAAUGAGGACAGGGAUGCCGGACCUGUGCAGAUGGGCACGCCUGUGCAGAUGGGCAGGGCGUCUGCACAACAUAUGUCCUAUCAAAAUAAGAGAAAGAGGAACCUCAUGGCCCCAAGUGGUUUAUGAAUGGUCAUUAGCAGAAUAUGCAUCAGCAAGGAGAACCAAGGUGCAAACCUAGGCACCCCAGGUUGCCGCAGAUAGACAUGCCCUUUGUGGAAGCACAAUGGUGAUUCUUGAGAUGCUAUGCACAGAUAGCCAAGCUUCCCCAAAUGCUAAUGAUUGUUAAAUGCCUAAAGGUCAGAAUAAAAGCUUAAUCAUCUACCAGCUGUGUGACUUCUAAAAUAAUAAAAGAACUUCUAAAAUAAUACAAAAAACUAUAUCCUACACCUAUAACCCCCUCCUCACUUGACGUCAUCCUAAAGAGCACAGUAAAAGCAGUGUGGUUUCUUGAGGCAGCACUCUUGGUCCCUGAGACCUUGAGUCCCCCAGUUCCCACCUUUACUUAAGAUAAAUGUCUCUGUGUCUUGUUUUAUGUUAACUUUUCCUUAAGUUUCACGGCACCCGUUCUUCCGCCCUCACCUGCUGAGCUGUCUCGGCAGAUGGAGAGGAGGGGGAGUGAGUAUAUCUUACAUGUAAGGGGAAAUGCAAAGAAUUCAUGUCCCAUGGGCCACCUGUGAAGUCUUAAAACAUGCCUGUGAAUUCGUUGAUGUUCUUCCCAACAAAAGAUAGAGCCCAAUUCCCCUUCCCUUGAAAGGGGCUUGCUUCUAACAAAUAGAAUAUGGCAGAAGGGAUCCUGUUUGACUUCUCAGGCAAGCUCACAAAAGGGGAGGCAGUUUUGCCUUGUUUCUUUUCUCUUGCCAGGUUUGCUUUGGAAUCCACUGACCCCUGUGGGAGGUGGGCCAGCAGCCACCAGGGAGGGCAGGGUGGAGGUGUUCUGGCCACAGUCCAGCUGCGGUCCCAGCCCAGGGCCACUCUUACCCGGCAACCUGUGAGUAGGAAGGUGAGUUUUCAGAUGUGGUCCCAGCGCAGAGAUGCCACGGGGAGCAAAGACAAACUGUCCUUGCCAACCCCAGCCAAAUUAUAAAUUCAUGAGGAAAAUGAAUGUAAUCAUUGAUUUAAGGCACUACUUUUUGGAGUGGUUUGUUAUGUGGCAACAGAUUAACUGGAUGUUGAUGUGCAAAUACCUGCUAGAAAUAUCCCCAUAUGCAAAUGCAACCUUGUAACAGUCACAAGAUUUUAGGCAUUAUAAAUUAUAAUUUCUUUAUGGUUCCCAGAUUUAUCACUUACUAAUUGUGGGACCUUUAGUAAGUCAGUCUCUUGAACUUCAGCGUCUGCAACUAUAAAAUGGAGAUGAAAGUACUUGUCUUAAAAAAAAUGAUUUAUGUUGUGAGAUAACGGAUGUUAGCUAAAAAAAAGUCAUUUAUGAAUAUUAUCUAGCAACGAGCAAAAGGAUGAUGUAUUGGAUUCACAUGAUUACAACGAUAAAAAUGUACAGAAAUAGAUGAAUUAGGUUAGUGGAAUUAAAAAUAUUUUUUUCCUUCUAUUUUCCAGAUUUCCUUAAAAUGAUUUACUUUAGUAAUAAAAAAUUAGAAAGUGUUCCCCAAAAUCCCAUUGCACACUCCCAGCCCAAACCCAGGGAAUAAGUCAAUGGUUAUUUCUUCUCAGUCUCCCUGCAGGUUAAACCAGGUAAAUGGUUUGGAAGAGAAACAGUGAUGAAACAGCUUCCUAUCUCUUGGAAUCUGGGGGUCAAUACAGGAUUGACCCCAGAACCCAGAUUACUUGCCUCCCCAGCUAGCACACUAUUUCUUCCACCUGUAACCUCACAGUACUAGUUUUCACCUGUAUAGGCUAAGCCACACGAAAUGCCUUUAUUUAAAUAACUGGAAGUCUCAGCCAUCUGAUCUUAGGAGGCAUAUAAUCCAGUGAUUAGCAGAGUCAGUCAAAAUGCAUGCAUUGGAAACCUGCCUCCAGCACGUAUUAUCUGGGGUUUUUGUAGAUGUGAAUAAUGAUACUGGGGGGAGAUCAUCCUGGAUUACAAGGGUGGACCCUCUAUCCAAAGACACAGACACACGCAGGUCAGGGGAAGAGAGAAGUUAUGUAGCCACAAACCAGGCAAAGUCUGGAGCCACAGAAGCAGGGAGAAGUGGGAACGGAGUCUCUCUUAGAUCCCAGAGGAAGGACAGCCCUGAGGACAACUUCUAGCCCUCUGAACUGCGAUAAUACAUUUCUGUUGUUUUAAGACACCAAGUUUGUGAUGAUUCAUUAUGGCAGCCCUACGAAUAUAAUGCAGUGGAAGAAUCUUGCAAAUCACAAGGAUGAAGGGAAAAAAUUCAAAUGACAAGAAAAAAACCAUUUAAAGCUUUAAAAACAUGUAAUGGAUACUUUGUAUUAUUUAUAGAUAUAUACAUAUUGACAAAAAGCAUAAAGAAAAUGGGAGGGAAUUCCCUGGUGGUCUCAUGGUUAGGAUUUGGUGCUUUCACCACUGCAGCCUAGGUUCAAUCCCCAGUCUGGGAACUGAGAUCCCACACCAACCCACUACACACUGUGG